Molecule: long non-coding RNA, 623 nt
Organism: Chelonia mydas (Green sea turtle)
Lineage: Eukaryota; Metazoa; Chordata; Testudines; Cheloniidae
Exons: 3
Source: RefSeq, a predicted model, not a curated record
GACCAGGAUGGAAAUGGUAGGCUGACUUGCUCCCUGCUGUAUUGUUUGCUGGGCAUGUGGGAAAUUUUUGGUUUGCUGUUCUGGAAGUUCAUCAGCAGGACACAGAGUGACAAUCUGUAGGUGCUCCCAGAACUUGUUCACAGCUGCCAAAGGAAAUACUGCUGCUUCUGGAAAGGAAGUAUGGACAUACUCAAAAUACCCACAUACGUUCCCGCUGCAACCCCUGCUCAUGAUGAAAGCCCUUCCAGUCUGGGUUGAUCAAAAGUUUGCCUCAUACAAGCCUGAUUAUUCCACUAGAGAUGAUGUGAGACCAGUCCCGGAAAUAUGUUUUGAGCUUAUUAAAAGGCUUUCUUAAAACUGGCACAUACAAGCAAUGAUCAAUGAGUGCCUGGCACCAGUACACUGAACCACAUUGUGCCAGGCAUAAUAAUUGAUGUUGACUGAAUACUUACAGCAUUAAGCAAUGGUUCAUUUAAUUAAAAAAAAAAGGGGGCUUUGGAAAAUACUUUAAAGCGGAGGUGGUAAGUAAAAUACUGUACAACAAAUAUCAUCUAAGCUUUGACUUAACAUAAAUCUGUCAUUUCGAAAGGAUGAGAGCCAGUGAUAAAAGGCAGUUAAUUAGG